RNAcentral lists this ribosomal RNA (270 nucleotides) under uncultured archaeon. RNAcentral's name for it is "partial 16S ribosomal RNA". It matches the Rfam family "Archaeal small subunit ribosomal RNA", at positions 477 to 747 of the family's 1478-position model. The record is from RNAcentral.
CAGCACCUCAAGUGGUCAGGAUGAUUAUUGGGCCUAAAGCAUCCGUAGCCGGCGCUGUAAGUUUUCGGUUAAAUCUGUACGCUCAACGUACAGGCUGCCGGGAAUACUGCAGAGCUAGGGAGUGGGAGAGGUAGACGGUACUCGGUAGGAAGGGGUAAAAUCCUUUGAUCUAUUGAUGACCACCUGUGGCGAAGGCGGUCUACCAGAACACGUCCGACGGUGAGGGAUGAAAGCUGGGGGAGCAAACCGGAUUAGAGACCCGAGUAGUCC